Molecule: long non-coding RNA, 601 nt
Organism: Loxodonta africana (African savanna elephant)
Lineage: Eukaryota; Metazoa; Chordata; Mammalia; Proboscidea; Elephantidae
Exons: 3
Source: RefSeq, a predicted model, not a curated record
ACUGUUUUACUAUGAAUCUCCCGUUACGGUUGAUGCCCAUUGACCUCCAAAGUAAAAACUUCCUGCUCCUGGACAAUCAAAGCAAAUAGAUGCUCUUAGCUACACUGGUGGAUAUAUAGGGGAAGAAAAACAAAAUUACUUUCCCCUUAUAGACUCUUACCGGCAUCCCUCACCAGUACACCUUUCUGCAGCUGUUACAGUGAUCUAAAAUGCAAAUUGAAUCAUGCUGUUCCUCUGCUCAGCAACUUUAGCUGACUCACAGUCUAUAAGGCAAUUCAAAGGGACGUGAAAAGCCUAAAGAAGAAUCAUUGAGCCAAUUAAAAAGGAACCUUCUGGUUUUGGAGUCUAUCUCAGGAAGAGAAAAAAAGAAACUUCAGAUUUUGCUUUAGUGAAGAAUUUUUUACAAGGUUCUUUAAUGAAGUUGAUAAAACUCCACUCCUUUUCAACUGUAGGCAUAUAAUAUAAACUUAAAGAUUUCAAUGCCUGUACUUAAUACGUAACAAAUAAAAUGGGAGCAUGUUAAUAAUAAAAUACCACAAUCAAAUUCGCAAAUAUAUUCUCAUUGAAUGAUAUAUUUGGAAGUCAUCCAACCAUUCUUCUU